Molecule: ribosomal RNA, 304 nt
Filed under: uncultured bacterium
Lineage: Bacteria
Description: partial 16S ribosomal RNA
Rfam family: Bacterial small subunit ribosomal RNA
Source: RNAcentral
CAGCAGUAGCCACGGGAAUACGGAGGAUCCAAGCGUUAUCCGGAAUCAUUGGGUUUAAAGGGUCCGUAGGCGGUCUUGUAAGUCAGUGGUGAAAGCCCAUCGCUCAACGGUGGAACGGCCAUUGAUACUGCAGGACUUGAAUUAUUGGGAAGUAACUAGAAUAUGUAGUGUAGCGGUGAAAUGCUUAGAGAUUACAUGGAAUACCAAUUGCGAAGGCAGGUUACUACCAAUUGAUUGACGCUGAUGGACGAAAGCGUGGGUAGCGAACAGGAUUAGAUACCCCCGUAGUCCCUGUCUCUUAUAC